GGCGUGGUAGCUCAGUAGGUGAGAGCGCCGGAUUCAUAACCCGGAGGUCGGCGGUUCAAGUCCGCCCCACGCUACCA
This 77-nucleotide transfer RNA is filed under the name Aestuariivita sp. RNAcentral describes it as "tRNA-Met". It matches the Rfam family "tRNA". From Rfam's summary of the family: Transfer RNA (tRNA) molecules are approximately 80 nucleotides in length. Their secondary structure includes four short double-helical elements and three loops (D, anti-codon, and T loops). Further hydrogen bonds mediate the characteristic L-shaped molecular structure. tRNAs have two regions of fundamental functional importance: the anti-codon, which is responsible for specific mRNA codon recognition, and the 3' end, to which the tRNAs corresponding amino acid is attached (by aminoacyl-tRNA synthetases). tRNAs cope with the degeneracy of the genetic code in two manners: having more than one tRNA (with a specific anti-codon) for a particular amino acid; and 'wobble' base-pairing, i.e. permitting non-standard base-pairing at the 3rd anti-codon position. Lineage: Bacteria; Pseudomonadati; Pseudomonadota; Alphaproteobacteria; Rhodobacterales; Paracoccaceae. The record is from RNAcentral.